GCAAGACUCAGCAAUUCCUCACCCUGGGUUAGGUGCUCUGACUUUCUGGUGAUCAGAACGAGGACUUUCAAAGAUUCUUUCAAGUUAGAACCCGGGAUAGGCUCGUCAUGGCACGUCACUAUAGGCUAAUGUAUGGAUUGUGUUUCAGAAAAAGACAAAAACAACUCAGAGUUGGGAUGAUUGGGAGCCCCCGUCAGCCAGGGAAUAAGAAUGCGACCAACACAUCCUGGAAGGCACCAGACAAAACUGAAGGACCCGGAGACGUCGAAGCCUGGC
Long non-coding RNA from Ornithorhynchus anatinus (platypus), 276 nucleotides. RefSeq lists it as uncharacterized. The record is from RefSeq and is a predicted model, not a curated record. The transcript is spliced from 3 exons. Lineage: Eukaryota; Metazoa; Chordata; Mammalia; Monotremata; Ornithorhynchidae.